Molecule: long non-coding RNA, 582 nt
Filed under: Pan troglodytes (chimpanzee)
Lineage: Eukaryota; Metazoa; Chordata; Mammalia; Primates; Hominidae
Description: lincRNA
Source: RNAcentral
CAGGAUGCGGUGGGUGAACGUGGGGAAGUGAGCCAGGAAAAGGAAGAAAGCCAUUGAGGCUGCACUAAUAAUGGGUUACUUUGAGGGUGACUGGAGCUCAGUCUUAUUAAGAUCCUUCUAAGAAACUGUGGAAAAUAAUCCCAACAUUUCCCACCAAGAGGUGAGAAAGCUGGGUCAUUUUCAGUUUCAACUCUGGUUGACAGUCUCUGAGACAUUAACUCCCUGGUACUUCCAGCCUGCCCCAUGUGUGAGCCAAGCACAGUCCUGGGCUAGAGAGUGCCCGCGGGCUGAGAGGCACAGGAAGCCAGUGGACAGUAAGGGAGUUGUCUUCAGAUGACCUCCAGGGUGUGUCAAGGGGAUAUGGGCAGGGCAUGAGUGCAUCUUUCACAGCACGUCCUUUGUAUUGUUUAUUAACGUGCCCAUGUUAAGUUCGUUCUGUCACUAAUUCUUUAAAAUGGCCUUAAUCAUACCCCUGAUGGAAGGAUGUAACAGCAGGGCGGUUGGUGGGAUGCUGCUGCAGUUGUUCCCAGGCUGUGGGGAUAUUCAUCCUCUCCUUCAUAGAAUGUUCAUUCUGGAAUCCCC